Molecule: ribosomal RNA, 794 nt
Filed under: uncultured archaeon
Lineage: Archaea
Description: bacterial SSU rRNA
Rfam family: Archaeal small subunit ribosomal RNA
Source: RNAcentral
AGCCAUGCGAGUCAUUGUAGCAAUACAAGGCAGACGGCUCAGUAACACGUAGUCAACCUAACUCGUGGACGUGGAUAACCUCGGGAAACUGAGAAUAAACCACGAUAGAUCAUAGUGCCUGGAAUGGCUUAUGGUUCAAACAGUUUACUACCAUGGGAUGGGACUGCGGCCUAUCAGCUCGUUGGUGAGGUAAUGGCCCACCAAGGCGAUUACAGGUACGGGCUCUGAGAGGAGAAGCCCGGAGAUGGGUACUGAGACACGGACCCAGGCCCUAUGGGGCGCAGCAGGCGAGAAACCUUAGCAAUGUGCGAAAGCACGACUGGGUCAGUCCGAGUGAUUCCUGAUAAAGGAGACUUUUGCUUGUCCUAAAAGCACAGGUGAAUAAGGGGUGGGCAAGUCUGGUGUCAGCCGCCGCGGUAAUACCAGCACCUCGAGUGGUCAGGACGUUUAUUGGGCCUAAAGCAUCCGUAGCCGGCUCUGCAAGUCUUCGGUUAAAUCCACCUGCUCAACAGAUGGGCUGCUGGAGAUACUACAGAGCUAGGGAGUGGGGAGAGGCAGACGGUAUUCAGUGGGUAGGGGUAAAAUCCUCUGAUCCAUUGAGGACCACCAGUGGCGAAAGCGGUCUGCCAGAACACGUUCGACGGUGAGGGAUGAAAGCUGGGGGAGCAAACCGGAUUAGAUACCCGGGUAGUCCCAGCUGUAAACGAUGCAACUCGGUGAUGCGUUGGCUUAUGGCACGCAGUGCCGCAGGAGCCGUUAGUUGCCGCCUGGGAAGUACGGACCGCAAGUUCUGA